GUGGUGUGGGAUUCGACCACGAUGCAGGCACGUAUGUCACCUGCUCGGAUCGAGUCGAUCCUCGCCGCAGUCACGAGAGUAAGAAAAUGCCGGUCACUCACUGUCAAGCAGUUUCAAAAACUGCUGGGUCUGAUGACAGCUGCGUCCAACAUUAUACCUAUUGGCCUGCUGUACAUGAGACCCCUACAGUGGUGGCUCAAGACCAAGGGGUUCUCCCCGAGGGGAAACCCACUUCGCAUGAUCAAGGUCACGCAGCGCUGCCUACGUGCCUUGGACAUGUGGAGGAAACCUUGGUUCUUGUCUCAGGGCCCGGUGCUGGGAGCUCCUUGUCGCCGCGUGACGCUAGCGACGGACGCAUCCCUCACUGGCUGGGGUGCGGUCAUGAGUGGCCACCCUGCCCACGGUCUGUGGAGUGGUCGCCAUCUGACAUGGCACAUAAACUGCCUGGAGAUGCUGGCCGUGCUCCGAGCACUACAACAUUUUCUCCCAGACCUAAGAGGUCACCAUGUGUUGGUGCGCACCGACAACACAGCGGUGGUCUCUUACAUCAACCACCAAGGAGGUCUGCGCACACGCCGUUUUUACAAACUAGCGUACCAGAUCCUUGUGUGGUCCCAGGACGAACUUCUCUCAUUGAGAGCAGUUAACAUUUCUGCGCAUCUCAAUUUGGGAGCAGACAUCCUGUCGAGGCAGGGGCCGAGGCCCGGGGAAUGGCGGCUUCACACCGAGGUGGUGAAGCAGAUUUGGAGAGUUUUUGGCCAGGCUCAGAUGGACCUGUUUGCAACUCGUCAGACAUCGCACUGUCCCCUCUGGUUCUCUCUGACUCAUCCAGCUCCACUGGGGCUGGACGCCAUGGUACAGACGUGGCUGAGGCUUCGUCUGUACGCCUUUCCCCCGAUCGCUCUGCUCCCAGGAGUUCUGGCGAGAGUGCGCCGGGACGGGGUCCAGCUGCUACUGGUAGCCCCGUUCUGGCCGGGCCGAGUAUGGUUCUCGGACCUGAUUUCCCUCCUCGACGGCUCUCCAUGGGAGAUUCCCGUCAGGAGGGAUCUCCUCUCACAGGCGGAGGGCACUAUAGUCCAUCCCCGCCCGGAGCUGUGGAAGUUAUGGGUGUGGCCUCUGAGGGGGCACAACUCGUAGCUUCUGGUCUCUUAACCGAGGUUGUUGAGACCAUCCUCCAAUCCAGAGCUCCCUCAACGAGGAAACUGUACACCUUGAAGUGGAAGCUCUUCACUUCUUGGUGCAGAGACCACCAGCUCGACCCAGUUAACUGCCCGAUUGGU
Molecule: long non-coding RNA, 1280 nt
Organism: Cyprinus carpio (common carp)
Lineage: Eukaryota; Metazoa; Chordata; Actinopteri; Cypriniformes; Cyprinidae
Source: Ensembl